RNAcentral lists this ribosomal RNA (492 nucleotides) under uncultured bacterium. RNAcentral's name for it is "partial 16S ribosomal RNA". It matches the Rfam family "Bacterial small subunit ribosomal RNA", at positions 28 to 507 of the family's 1533-position model. The record is from RNAcentral.
GAUGAACGCUCGCUACAGGCUUAACACAUGCAAGUCGAGGGGAAACGACAUCGAAAGCUUGCUUUUGAUGGGCGUCGACCGGCGCACGGGUGAGUAACGCGUAUCCAACCUGCCCACCACUUGGGGAUAACCUUGCGAAAGUAAGACUAAUACCCAAUGACGUCUCUAGAAGACAUCUGAAAGAGAUUAAAGAUUUAUCGGUGAUGGAUGGGGAUGCGUCUGAUUAGCUUGUUGGCGGGGUAACGGCCCACCAAGGCGACGAUCAGUAGGGGUUCUGAGAGGAAGGUCCCCCACAUGGGAACGGAGACACCGACCAAACUGCUACGGGAGGCAGCAGUGAGGAAGAGGGGUCAAGGGACGAGAGUCUGAACCAGCCAAGUAGCGUGCAGGAUGACGGCGCUAUGGGUGUUAAGCUGCUUUUAUAAGGGAAUAAAGUGAGUCUCGUGGGACUUUUUGCAUGUACCUUAUGAAUAAGGACCGGCUAAUUCCGUG